UGGGCACAGGCCUUUCUCCUCUCCAUGUCCCCAGCCUUUGGGAGACCUGUCACCUUGUGCCCUCCUGGGUAGUGCUGGUCUCCUUUGCCCUGGACUCCUCCCACCUAAAGGGGAACAGGGGCUUUCCCGGCUGGACCAUUAGUAACACAGGGGCCAAGGUCUUGUCCCAGGAGCCUAUUUCCAGGCGUGAGUGUGGGGCCACUCUGAGCAAACUGCAGGUUUCUUGGAACUGAUAGGCCUCAGUCACCCUCCCUCAGAUGUCUGACUUGCUGAGAGAUGGGUAAGUGCUUUAACUCCAGAAUGGGUGGCAUGGCAGGGCUGUGGAGCCCACAGGCCAGUUCUGAGCCGGGCCUGCCACUUUCUAGCAGUGGCUUGGACAAGCGGUUUAACUAACUUUUUAAAGCUUUGGUUCUUAGUAUAAUGGAUGUAAAGAUUCCUAUUCUGUUGGAUUAUCAUGAGAAUUAAGUGAAAUACUCCACUCUGUCCCUAGGCCAGGGUCAGGCAGUGGCUUUCCCAAGGGUCUGUAGCAGAGCCUGGCCUCAGCUGCACAGCUGUAGUUACUGAGUAAAUUCUCUACAAAUGGCAGCAGUUUUUUUCCAUACUUAUGUAUGUGAUCCAUUGACAAUAUCACCUCGAAUUUAUUAAUUAGAGACAAUGGAGGGCAAUUCGGGGUUAUACUUGGAGAUUCCAAGGAGAAAGCCUUGAAAUGCAGAAAGGAUUGGGUGGGUGGGUAGGUGGGGGGGGGUCCCAGAGUCUGGCUCUGGCAGGAAGUUAUGUUUUCCCCUUUCCCUCCUCCUCUCCCAUCCUCCCUCAGGCUGCCUCCGGCGCACUCUCCCUCUCCCGACUCCCCCUCUCUUCUCCACAUCUGGAUUCAACUAGGGAACAACAGGCUUUCUGUGAAUGCCCCCACCUUCUUCAGCCCUCAGUCCACUGCCUCAAAACUUUGAUUCUCAGGGGGUGGAAGGUGGGGCGGAGUGAGGUGGGGGUGGGGUUGGAAAAAUUUUGAACUUUCUCUUCCCAGAUUUAUAGGGUUAAAUCUGCACAACUCCCCCCCCCCUUGCUGGAGAUCCACCAAAGAGCCUGGAGCCCCAGUUCAGAGCUGGGGGUGGGGUGUCUCUGGAGGCAGGGGAGGCUGCAGUUCCUCAGCCCCCACCCCAUCCCAGGGCCAGCUUGCAGCCACCCCUCCCUGCCUGGGAGAAGCCCUGCUGGGCUCUGAGGCCAGGCAGUAAAUUGGAAUGCAGAAGUCACAGUCCAAGGCAGCUGUAACUCUCAUUAAAGUGACAUCAACCCCACUUCGGGAGGAUGCUGUAAAUCCAGGGAAAGGGGGCAUUCAUCCAGGGAGAACCGCAGAAGCAAAGAAAAAAACCAUAAAUAGAGGAGACGUGGUGUCUGGAACUAAUGGUGGGGCCCUCCCUGCCCAAGGCUGUGCUGAACUGGGGGUGGGGAAGGAGCUAAGGCCAGAGGAGGGGGAUGGGGGUUCUGAGCCAGGCCCUAGGGCCUAGUGAAUCCAAAGGGCACAGCCAAAGCCCUGCCUACAGUUGAUUGUCCUCUGCCCUUUCUGCACAUUCUCUUGGGCUGAGGCUGGCACUAGGAAUCAGAGUUGGUUUUUGUCCUUGGGGGAAUGACUAGGGGCUUUCCCAGGGACAAGAGAAGCUGUUGGCUUUGGCCAUUAAGGUUUUGUCAGUUCUCCUGUGAUCAGACAUCUGGGGGUCAGUCUCUGGGUUUAUAACCCAUCACCCGAAUUCAUAUCUUGUCUCUACUACUUGCUUCCAAGCUGUGGGCCUUGGAAGAGUUGCUUCUACUUUAAAAAACCUCAGUUUAAGCCUGGCAUGGUGGACACAUCUGUAAUCCCAGAGACUCAGGAGGCUGAGGUGGGAGGACAACAAGUUUGAGGCCAGCCUCAGCAACUCAGUGAGACCCUGUUUCAAAGUUUUAAAAAAAUAAUUUAAAAAAGGCUGGGUGGGUAGCUCAGUGGUAGAGAGUCCUAAGUUCAAUCCUCAGUAACAAAAAACAAAACAAACAAACAAAAGAAAGAAAGAAAGAAAAAGGAAGCCUCAAUUUUCCUUCAAUAGAGAACCGGAAAGGUCGCCCACCAAAGCUUGAUGUGAAAACCCAAGUAGAAAGCACAGACCAUUUCUGGUGGUGUGCAGGUACUAAUUGUUGAGUGACUAAAUGAUUCCCAGGUCCCCCCACCCCAUCACUGCCCAGAAACAGAUUUAUUUUCAGCUUUCCUNGCCUUAAAAUUGUGAUCUUCUUGCUUCAGCAAGUGCUGUGCCACCGUGCCUGAAUUCCUUUGUGCCUGACUCUGGAGUUUGUCGCCGAGGGACCUUAGGACAGUCACCUAACUUUCCAGGACUGAGUAUGGGUGUUGCUUUUUUCCUCCUAGGAAGUGAAACACUGGUGGGAGGCCGGGUUUGGAGUGGAGAGGGCAGAGUGUGCUGUCUGUAGUGGAAGCACCACCCCUUUGCUUUAGGGUCUAUGGUGUAGCCCAGGUCUCUCCUUCCCUGGGAACCCCAGGCAGGCUGCAUUCUAGAACCUUCUCCUGGGAUCAUUCUAGACUCCCUCCUCCUCACCUACACCAGGAACCUCAGACAUAGGCUGGGAGGCCACCCCACCUUUGCUCUCAGGCCCUGGGUGCUAGUGGCCACCCCAUUCCGAGGAAGGUUGAAGGCAAUCAUGUUCUCCUGAAAGUGUGAAUGAAGGAGAAUGAGCAGGCCAGAGAAUUCCUUCAGCCUUCCUCUUGGCCUUGAGUAUCAGUGUGCUUCAGGGUCCCUUGAGUGCUUGUUAAAUCAUGCAUGGUGGGCCCCGCCGUGGGAGCCCCACAUCAGCAGAAGCCCUGUUUCAGCAAAUCUGAGAGGAGGCCUAAGAAUCUGCAUUUCCAAUGUCAUGCACUUUGAGAACCACUUCUCUAGAGUGGUCUUGUUCGAAUUCAGGCCUUUUUGGGGGGCCGGGCGGGGAUACAGGAAGUUGAACUCAGGAGCAUUCAACUACUGAGCCACAUCCCUAGCCCUACUUUGUAUUUUAUUUAGAGACAGGGUCUCACCGAGUUGCUUAGCGCCUCACUUUUGCUGAGGCUGGCUUUGAACUCAGCCUCCUGAGCCCCUGGAAUUACAGGCAUGUGCCUCCGCGCCUGGCAAAUUCAGGCUUCUUUUGCUCCAUCAUUGUAGACUUGCAGCUGCAGCAAAGAACUGGCUUAGGCAGACUCCACCGUGUGGGUGUGUAGACUUUCAAAUCAAUUGGGACCCUCAGGGGCCAUCAGUCACAGCUGUGCAAAGAGCUGGCAGCUGAAGGGUGUGCUUGGUGAAAUAUGGACUUGCAGGGUGGGCUAAAGACCUGCCUGUUGUGUUCCCAUAGUGACAUAAACAUCGAUGAGAAGGGUGUCACACAGGGGGAAGCAAGGAGGGGAGAAUGGUGACCAUAUGUGACAUGCUGAUGGCCAAAGAGGCAUCAAAGACUUGCGGGGUGGGCAUGACCAUCUGUGUAUUUAACAAACUCCCCCGGCAAUUCUCGUGCAUACCCAUGUUUGGGAGCUGCUGCCAUGGAGGGUACUGGUGUUAGAGAUUGCGUUUUCUUUGAGGGCCUCUCUCAUCCCUCCUUCCUCCCAACCAAAAGGGCUUAGAGAAAAAGAGAUUGGGCGUGGGAAUGCAGAAAUUAAAUUGGGUGAAAUGGUCUAUGAUUCAACUAGGGGACAACAGGCUUUGUUCUCUAGUGCUUGUGACAAGAGUCCAGCACAAUCAAUUGAAAGGAAAAGCAAUAAAACUAGGCUUUGAAACAUCCAGAAAUGAUGCCCAGAAGGCUGGCUUGGGGAGGAGAGCAUGACCUUCCCCACUGUGGAUGGCCGGGGAGACACACACGCAGGUAGAGACAGUCCUGCAAUUCAUGAGGAUGCUUCUGGGGCUUACUCCUUGAGGAGGCUGAGACUUCCUGAGGGGUAGGAGCAGGGGUGAAGUGAGGAGGGGAGGCCACCUGCUUCCCCACCAGGACAUGGCCAACCAAUCAACCAGGACUCAGAGGGAACACUCUUGCCCCUGGGACCCACAGUCUCUUAUCCUGACACCCCAUGCCCUCACCUCUUGUGAAAGCCAGUUCUGAGUCCAACCUUCUCUCCAAGGGCAGCAUCCAGGGCUCCGGCCCUACUGACCACACACCCAUCACUUUUCUCACCAGACCUGGAACAGUGGUUUCCGGGGCCUUCCAGGAAGGUCCCUCAGGAUGAGUCCCUGGUGAGGGAGAUCUAUUUCCUUCACCUUUCAAAAGGACACAGCCUGACAGGAAGGAAUGGACUGAGGAGACACAUAAAAGAAUAAACAGGGCUUAGGACUGCUUUAGACAUUGUGUUGUGUGAGGUUUCCAUGUUGUAAUGAUGCCGUAGGUGUCCAAGCACUUCACAGUUUGCAUUAGGGCAUUUUACCUCCCCCCCCCCCCCCCCCCCCCCCCCCCCCCCGAGGAAGGCAGAGGGGUCAUGAGAUCCUAUUUAAAAAGGAGAAAGCUGUGGGCAGAAGAAAUGAAAAGACUUGUCUAAAUCUACACUUCAAUGCAAGGGUUUGGACCCAAACAGGAAUGUGGGCUUCUUGUUCCCAGCUAAAGGAAGUUGAGUUCACUUCUCAGAAACUGGUAUUAGGUUUGGAGUAGAGGGAGAGAGAACAGAAGUUGCAGUGAGUAUCUGGGUGCCUGGCCAAGAAUGUCCUUUGCGAUGGAGAUACUCAUGGCCCCAACUGCACAGUGAUGACUGAGAAGGCCCACAGCUCCGUCCCCUGGGAAUGGCCCUUAGCUUAAGGGAACUACAUUGCCCAAGGUUAUGUCCCCCUCAAGGUAGGGGACCUUGCAUCCAAUGACAGCUGCUUUGGGGAGUAAAGGUUCAGUCCCCUUGCCUUAGUGCAGGACCUCUGUGCAGGCCCUCCCCAGCUCCAGAGCUCUGCAAAGGGUUGGCCAAGUCUUUGGCCACAACUGCAGUAGCCCAGCUUCUCUCCAACCCAGGCCUGCUCCCUUCAUUCCCCCACAGGGCUUCACCCAAUAAAUGCAUAUGUACCUCUUAAAGUCUGAUUUCUAGGAGACUGAGUUAAGAAGGGAGCUAACAUUAACAAGAUGUGUUUGCUUGUUUAUUUGUUAUUGAGAUGGUCUCUCUUAAUAAAACAAAUCUAUGAAACAAACAUUUUUUGCUGUUUCUUCUUGGGGAAAGUUUAAAGCAAUUGUCAAGAUCACAUAGUAGGGGGCUGGGGUUAUGGCUCAGAGGUAGAGCGCUUGCCUAGCAUGCAUGAGGCACUGGGUUCGAUUCUCAGCACCACAUACAAAUAAAUAAAAUAAAGGUCCAUCAACAACUAAAUCACACACCAUAUUUAAAAAAAUAUUAAAAAAAAAAGAUCACAUAGUAGGCUGGGUACAGUGGUGCAUGCCUAUAAUUCCAGCUACUUAGGAGGCAGAGGCAGAAGGACCACAAGUUCAAGGCCAGCCUGGGUAAAAGAAAGAUCCUGUCUCAAAAUAAAAAGGGAUUAGGGGCUAGCUCAGUAGCAGAGCAGUUGUUUAGCAUGUGAGAGGCCCUGGGUUCAAUCCCCAGUACUGGGGGGCAAAAAAAGAUCACAUAGCGUCGAACAAAGCUGAGACCCGAAUCCAGGACCACUCUGACUUUGAGGGCACAUGCUGUAGUCACUGUCCACUCUAUGGAAUGUGGCAGAGUCCCUGACCCUGACCUGAGGGGUCCACAGUGGAAAAGUCAGCAGGCUAAAGACCUGCCUGUUGUGUUCCCAUAGUGACAUAAACACCCAUGAGAAGGGUGUCACACCUGGCAUGCAAACAGGGGGAAGCAGGGAGGGGAGAAUGGUGACCAUAUGUGACACGCUGAUGGCCAGAGAGGGAGCAGGCAACUCUGGUGGAGGAACACCUCAGGGUGACCACAGGUCUCAGAGCCAGAGCUACAGACACCAUCAGCCCCUGCCAGGAGCAGCCACAGUGGCCAAUUGAACCUCUUUCUAUAGGCCCCAUACAGCAGGGACUGCUGGCUCUGAGUCUCCCUUGAGCACAAAAGGUUGGCAAGACCCAGCCCCAGUCCUGGCCCAGUAAAAAGUAAGGGACCCCUGGACCUUUCUGGCUAUCUGAUGCUCCAUCUGGUCCCCACACAGUUGAGUACUGCCUGGACUCUGGGACUGAUUUGGUAGUAGUCAGGGUGAGUUCAAGGUCAGCAUCUUGCUGCCACAGCCACAAGCCUGUCUGUAGCCUUUCCCUCAGGCCAACCCCAGAGCUCUCUGGAGAUAGGAGUAGAAAGAAGGCUCUUCCUAAAGUUUUGUCUCUGGAGAUCCCAACCUGAUUCUACUUUCACACAUUUAAUUCUAGAUCGGAGUCUAAUGCUGGAGUCCUCCUGAGGAGUGGUGGCCUUGGAACUGCACCUGGGGAAGAGCUGCAAGUCUGGAGACAAACCAAGCAGGUGCCAUCUUGGUUCUCGUGGGUUUGUUUAGCAUUCAUUGGCAGCUCUUAGUCAGCUUUGGCAUCAAUUCAAAAAGUGGCUUUUGGGGGUUCAUCCCAUCACCUGGAGAUUCUGAACACAUGCUUAUAGCUCACACACAGAGAAACAAAUAUAACUCUUUUACUUUCUCUUAUUAAGCUAGCUCUUCCCCUGGGGACAUGAGCUGGGAGAUAUGCAGCCUUCCCUGAGAAGAUGAGACUCCCUCGGGGAGAAGUCAGGUGCCUAGAAGUAACACCUGCUGAGUGUACCCCGCCAAUUGGAAAUCUUCUGUGCCCAGGGCUCAGGUGGCUAGUGAUGUCACUCAGUGGCAAGGUGCUUGCCUAACAUGCACAAGGCCUUGAUUUCCAUCCCCAGAGCCACAAAAAGAAAAAGAAAGACUCUUGUCCCUUAGGAUGUUCAACUAAUGUGUGAAGAAAACUCCUUGCCCCAGUAACCAGGAUGACAGGAGCAAGGGCAGGUCUGUGUGCCAAGGGCUGAUGUCAUGCAGGAAGGGGCAGCAGCAAGACCCAUUUUUAAAAUAUAUAUAUAAUUAAAUAUAUACACAAUUUUUUAUAUAUAUAUAUAUAUAUAUAUAUAUAUAUUUCUAAAUGGACACGAUUUAUUUAUUUAUCUAUGUAUGUAUGUAUGUAUGUAUUUAUGUGGUGCUGAGGAUGGAACCCAGUGCCUCACACAUGCUGGGUGAGAGCUCUACCACUGAGCUCCCAGACCCAUACUUGAGCUGGGCCUCGGUUUCCUCACCUGGUGGGGAAUGUUCUUCCAGUCGUGGGAAUAUGUUUGUGACUGCUGUCUCUUCUCUUCCUUAUAUUUUUUUUUAAUCUUUGUGAGAAAAAUCCUGCUGUUCUGCUUGUUUUCUCUGAGCCGUUUUGUUAGUUGAGGUGUUUGCAUGCUGAGCAACACACACUAAUAUUUUCCUUUGUAGCAAAACAUUAAUUAUCCCAUCCAGUAACCUUUCUCUCGGGUAUUUUGUUCUUACCACCCCCUAAGCUGUUGGACACCAAGCAAUUUCUGUAUUUUCUCAUCAUCUCAGCAAGCCGACUACAAGGGCUGGGGGGGAGAGCAUUCCCACUUGGCUGUGCUCAGGCUCUUCUUCCAGACACUCCCCGACACACACACAGUGGCACCCAGUACUUGCAGAGCACCCUGCGAGGCUGCUGUCCCAGCACUGUUCAUGCUGUGUGGGAACUCUCUGUUUACAUCUCCCAAGAGGCUGUGAAUGCACUCAUGUCUUUAUUCCAACUGUGCUCGGCACACACAGUGGCUCUCUGAGUGUGCCCUAUAAGCAGAUGGGUGAAGGAAACUGAAGGACUGAACAGAGGAUGCGCAGCCCCAGAACCCAGAGCAGCCGCCCAUUGGCCCCUCAGCCUCCAUCUCUUGCCCAUUCACACAAGCAGCAGUGGAAGGUGCGCUUUGCAUCUUGGCUGUCCCUGCCACUUGGUGAGCCUCUGUCCCCACCUGAAGCUAUCCUCAGCUGCAGCCUGUCAGUGCGCUCACCACUGGGAGCCCAGUCUCCUCUUCCCCAGAGUGAGAUGGGACAGAAGGAGGAUUUGGAACCAGGAGUCCCCGGAGGCCCCAGGGAACAAAGGCAGAAUGUGAAAGCAUCUUAGCAAUCCCUGGGCACCAACCCUUGCUCCUCCCACCUCAAAGACCAGGGGAUUCACCAGGCAUGGUGGCACUCGCCUGUAAUCCCAGUGAGAUUACACUCGCCUGUAAUCCCAGCAGGAGGCUGGGGCAGGAGGAUCACAAGUUCAAAGUCAGUCUCAACAACUUAGUGAGGCCCUCAGCAACUUAGUGAGACCCUAUCUCAAAAUUUAAAAUAAUAAUAUUAAUAGUAGUAAUAAUAAUAAUAAUAAUAAUGGCCGGGGUUGUAGAUCAGUGGUAAGCAUCCCUGGGUUCAAUCCUGGUACAAAAAACCCAAAAACAAACAAACAAACUAACAACAAACAAACAAACAACCAUGAGGACGGUCUCAGGGUCUUAGAGAGCUGAGGGGUCAGGUCCACAGUCACCUACAUGGUGAAUGGAGGAGUUGGGACUCAGGCCCUGGGCAGUUGUCAAGAGCAAGAACCUCCUAAUUAAUUCUGAACACAGGGCCUUUCAAAUCCCUUGUGCUGCCACACUAUGUGCCACAGAGAGGAGGGAAAGGCCUGGUGGUCUCCAUGUGUGCAGCACACACCCCUUCCCUUUCCUGGCAUCCUUCUGAAGGAGGCAGAGUGGCCAUGACUUCUUCAUUUUGCAGAUGAGGUCACUGAGGUGCAGAAGGUGGAGCUGAGCUGCUCACAGUAGCAGAGCUGUCCAGUGCAGCCCACGCCCAGCCCUACCAUGCUCUCCAGCUGGAUCCCUCUCCUGCUGUGUCCUUUUCUCCAGGAUCCUGAGACUCC
This 8835-nucleotide long non-coding RNA is filed under the name Marmota monax (woodchuck). The stretch from base 5216 to 5284 matches the Rfam family "tRNA". Lineage: Eukaryota; Metazoa; Chordata; Mammalia; Rodentia; Sciuridae. The record is from RNAcentral.